This 61-nucleotide transfer RNA is filed under the name Oxyethira ecornuta. RNAcentral's name for it is "tRNA-Thr". The record is from RNAcentral. Lineage: Eukaryota; Metazoa; Arthropoda; Insecta; Trichoptera; Hydroptilidae.
GUUUUAAUAGUUUAAAAAAAACAUUGAUUUUGUAUAUCAAAAAUAAUUAUAUUUUAAAGCU